GACGAACGCUGGCGGCGUGCUUAACACAUGCAAGUCGUACGAGAAAAGGUAGCAAUACCUUGAGUAAAGUGGCGCACGGGUGCGUAACACGUAAGUAACCUGCCUUUAGGUCUGGAAUAAUCCCGCGAAAGCGGGACUAAUACCGGAUGAUGCAGCGGAUCCACAUGGAUAUGUUGUUAAAAUCUAUAUGGUGCCUAAAGAUGGGCUUGCGUCCGAUUAGCUAGNGGUAGGUAACGGCUACCAAGGCUGCAAUCGGUAGCUGGUCUGAGAGGAUGAUCAGCCA
Molecule: ribosomal RNA, 283 nt
Filed under: uncultured bacterium
Lineage: Bacteria
Description: partial 16S ribosomal RNA
Rfam family: Bacterial small subunit ribosomal RNA
Source: RNAcentral